GUGAGUGCAGUCUGGCUGCAACAUCUGUCAGUGCAGUGAUCACCAGGGUGAUUCAGGUGGUCUGACUGGCCAGGCAGGUGUCCCCUUCUCACUGCAGGGUCCUGCGCAGCCCUCUUGAAGCUGCAUGCUCAGUAGUAAAGACUUUCCUGAUGGGGAAGGAUGCUUUUCUUUUUUAAAGGACUAGAAGCAGCUGCUAACCCCUGCUGUAACCUCCAAAAUGUUCUCAUAUAGUUUUAUCACCCUUUUCAUGAAUUUUAGGAGACAAAAAUAUCUGGUUUACAGCCAACCUGUAUUAUUAUUAUUUUAUUAUCAUA
Molecule: small nuclear RNA, 314 nt
Filed under: Chinchilla lanigera (long-tailed chinchilla)
Lineage: Eukaryota; Metazoa; Chordata; Mammalia; Rodentia; Chinchillidae
Description: 7SK RNA (ENSCLAG00000021825.1)
Rfam family: 7SK RNA
About the family: 7SK was discovered as an abundant small nuclear RNA in the mid-70s but a possible function has only recently been suggested. Two independent studies have found that 7SK RNA binds the CDK9/cyclin T complex (known as elongation factor P-TEFb). P-TEFb activates transcription by phosphorylating the C-terminal domain of RNA polymerase II.
Source: RNAcentral